RNAcentral lists this ribosomal RNA (468 nucleotides) under uncultured bacterium. Its description in RNAcentral is "partial 16S ribosomal RNA". It matches the Rfam family "Bacterial small subunit ribosomal RNA", at positions 28 to 507 of the family's 1533-position model. The record is from RNAcentral.
GACGAACGCUGGCGGCGUGCUUAACACAUGCAAGUCGAACGGAAAGGCCCUGCUUUUGUGGGGUGCUCGAGUGGCGAACGGGUGAGUAACACGUGAGUAACCUGCCCUUGACUUUGGGAUAACUUCAGGAAACUGGGGCUAAUACCGGAUAGGAGCUCCUGCAGCAUGGUGGUGGAUGGUAAGAUUCGGCGGUUGGGGAUGGACUCGCGGCUUAUCAGCUUGUUGGUGGGGUAGUGGCUUACCAAGGCUUUGACGGGUAGGCGGCCUGAGAGGGUGACCGGCCACAUUGGGACUGAGAGACGGACCAGACUCCUACGGGACGCAGCAGUGGGGAAUAUUGCACAAUGGGCGGAAGCCUGAGGCAGCAACGCCGCGUGCGGGAUGACGGCCUUCGGGUUAUGAACCGCUUUCGCCGGUGACGAAGCGUGAGUGACGGUAAUGGGUAAAGAAGCACCGGCUAACUACGUG